AGUGAACGCUGGCGGUAGGCCUAACACAUGCAAGUCGACCGGCAGCACAGUAAGGGCUUGCUCUUACGGGUGGCGAGUGGCGGACGGGUGGGGAAUACAUCGGAAUCUACUUUUUCGUGGGGGAUAACGUAGGGAAACUUACGCUAAUACCGCAUACGACCUACGGGUGAAAGCAGGGGAUCUUCGGACCUUGCGCGAUUGAAUGAGCCGAUGUCGGUUUAGCUAGUUGGCGGGGUAAAGGCCCACCAAGGCGACGAUCCGUAGCUGGUCUGAGAGGAUGAUCAGCCACACUGGAACUGAGACACGGUCCAGACUCCUACGGGAGGCAGCAGUGGGGAAUAUUGGACAAUGGGCGCAAGCCUGAUCCAGCCAUACCGCGUGGGUGAAGAAGGCCUUCGGGUUGUAAAGCCCUUUUGUUGGGAAAGAAAAGCAGCAGGUUAAUACCCCGCUGUUCUGACGGUACCCAAAGAAUAAGCACCGGCUAACUUCGUA
This 492-nucleotide ribosomal RNA is filed under the name uncultured bacterium. RNAcentral describes it as "partial 16S ribosomal RNA". It matches the Rfam family "Bacterial small subunit ribosomal RNA", at positions 29 to 507 of the family's 1533-position model. The record is from RNAcentral.